RNAcentral lists this transfer RNA (66 nucleotides) under Podarcis lilfordi (Lilford's wall lizard). Its description in RNAcentral is "tRNA.Lys". The record is from RNAcentral. Lineage: Eukaryota; Metazoa; Chordata; Lepidosauria; Squamata; Lacertidae.
UCCAUAGCUCAGUGGGUAGAGCAUGAGACUCUUAAUCUCAGGGUUCGAGCCCCACACUGGGCAAAA